UGUUUUUAGAAUGAUGGAUUUGAUAAGGAGGUGGAACUACGAACACUUUUAGUUGAGGUGGCAAAGAAUUGAAGUUAUCGAUGUUGCAGCUGUGAAAAAUACAUGUCAAAUUUGGUGGCGGCUAUUGUUGAUAAGGACUGAUUAGUCUUGGGCAGAUCUGUCCAUUUACCUGUUACGGGUCGUAUGCGUCAAUUCUUGCAUUGAUCGGGUAAAUUUCCUUAAUAGAGACUAUAUGAAACUUUAGCAGAUUAUUAAAAUUUUAAGUUUGAUUAACUUUUAUGAAUUUCAUAGUUUGAAAAUGUUCAGAUCAUUCAUUCAUAAAUUCAUAAUAAGGAUCCACAAAUUCCUUUACAAGAAAGUCUUUGUUUAUAAAUAUAGUAAAAAGACCAACAUUGGUCAUUUGGUAAAGAAAUGAUGGCUUUUGAUGGGUGUUGCCAUGACUUAGGUUUGUUAAUAUUUUAUUAUUUAGGUGUUUAUUCUAUUAAAUCCUAACCAUUUGAACUUCUUUGCGGUACAAAUAAAAUAUCUAUACUAUAUUUUGAAGUAUUAAUAUAAUGAUUACUAUAUUUUAAUUUUAGGUUACUACUUUAUUAUAUAAUUGACGUAUAGAGUUUUAUAUAAUAGACCUAUAGAAUUUGAUUCCUUAAAGCUUACUUUAUAAACUUAAUUAAUCCAAUUUUUAACAGCGAGGUCAAACAAUACUAUUGUUUAGUUGCAGGUUCAGUAGACAACACUAUGUCACCUUCAGAAAAAGAUGGUUUAACCAUAUGGGAACAACAAAUGGUUUAACGUUAUGGGAAUUUGGGAGAUCUGGUAUUUUGAAGCCACUCUUAGGAUACUGACUUCCCUACGAGCAAUUAAAUGUGGCGUACUCAAAACUUAGAAGCGGUGAUACAUCUGCUAAGUCGGGUUUAUAAGGUGAUGAUAUGGCAUCCCCUAAAGCAAUGAGGAGUUAUUCACAACUUAGAUUGACUUAUCUUCUUGAAGAAGCGAACACAAUUUGAGCUACAAGGUAUCCUGGUCAAUUCUCAAUUCUCUAGAUACGAAGAAUGUGUUCAUAUGGUUAUUACAUUGAUGCUCAAAAUGGCCCGUCAUUGGUUAGUAAGCAUCGUACUUUGUGCUUUUACUUUUAAAGAACAAGAAAAAAAAUAUUUUUAUUUGCUACUAGAUGAGUAUCCUUGAUUGGAUUUUGUAAACCUCUAAAGAUGGGAAUUUGCUAUGUGUGUAUUUAUAUAAGGGUGUGCACAAUUUGGUUU
Molecule: long non-coding RNA, 1256 nt
Filed under: Helianthus annuus (common sunflower)
Lineage: Eukaryota; Viridiplantae; Streptophyta; Magnoliopsida; Asterales; Asteraceae
Description: hypothetical non coding rna
Source: RNAcentral